GCGAAUCGCCCUUCGGGGCGCAGCAGGCGCGAAAACUUUACAAUGCGGGAAACCGUGAUAAGGGGACACCGAGUGCCAGCAUCAUAUGCUGGCUGUCCAGGUGUGUAAAAUACACCUGUUAGCAAGGGCCGGGCAAGACCGGUGCCAGCCGCCGCGGUAACACCGGCGGCCCGAGUGGUGAUCGUGAUUAUUGGGUCUAAAGGGUCCGUAGCCGGUUUGGUCAGUCCUCCGGGAAAUCUGAUAGCUUAACUAUUAGGCUUUCGGAGGAUACUGCCAGACUUGGAACCGGGAGAGGUAAGAGGUACUACAGGGGUAGGAGUGAAAUCUUGUAAUCCCUGUGGGACCACCUGUGGCGAAGGCGUCUUACCAGAACGGGUUCGACGGUGAGGGACGAAAGCUGGGGGCACGAACCGGAUUAGAUACCCGGGUAGUCCCAGCCGUAAACGAUGCUCGCUAGGUGUCAGGCAUGGCGCGACCGUGUCUGGUGCCGCAGGGAAGCCGUGAAGCGAGCCACCUGGGAAGUACGGCCGCAAGGCUGAAACUUAAAGGAAUUGGCGGGGGAGCAC
This 566-nucleotide ribosomal RNA is filed under the name uncultured archaeon. Its description in RNAcentral is "bacterial SSU rRNA". It matches the Rfam family "Archaeal small subunit ribosomal RNA", at positions 313 to 879 of the family's 1478-position model. The record is from RNAcentral.